Molecule: long non-coding RNA, 2119 nt
Organism: Macrobrachium nipponense
Lineage: Eukaryota; Metazoa; Arthropoda; Malacostraca; Decapoda; Palaemonidae
Exons: 3
Source: RefSeq, a predicted model, not a curated record
ACUCCUCUGACGGCAUAUACAGCUCAUCCCUAGUUACCAUCCCAUUCAUCUGCAUUUUUACACUUUUUCAUAUUUUUUCCUAAUUGUGGAUAUUUUGUAGAAAACUGUUUGACAGUAUAACCACCCAUAUAUUUAAGAGCUUCUUCUUCAAUUACAGUGGCAGCCUUUUUUUCUUCUUCUUUCUUUAUCCAGAAUCUGAUUUGUUUAUAUUUUCUGUGUGGCACUCAGAAUCUAAAUCUUUAAACAAUGAGCUGGUCAAGUAUAUUUCUAAUGCCAAUUCUCUAUCUUCACUGAAUUACAUGCACUCAUUUGUCAACAUAUAAUUGUUGCUCUUUGCAAUGAUGUUUGUUUUUUCACUAAUUAUUUAUACAUCUUUUCCGGGAAUCAGUGACCCGAGCCUAAACUUAGAUUCAACAACAUUAGGGUGAUCGUAUUAUGCCCUUCAUUUGCCUUAUGCAACCGAACAGAUGCUCUAGGCAGUCUUCAUUCUUCAACUUUUGCGUCAUGAUGUAAUCAACAUUAAAAACAUCUUUAACCAUAUUACAAAGACCAAUGACCGACUUGCUAGAAAGAAUUAUGCCUUUUUGAAAUUUGUACAGACAUCUUGUUUUCUGUAAUUUUACUUUUAAAAAAGUCAUUACCUUUAUGAUCGCUCCAAAGUAUUUAUUUGAAAUUCUUUAUUAAUCCCAAAACCAUUUUUCGUUGGUAUGUCGCCAUGCCUGUUGUUUGAAUUCAUUAUGUCAAACCAGUCAUUUAUCACUGAGAUAAAAUCAACUUCCCAAAAACCUUAAAGCACUUGCACAAGAUGACGAUAAUGACUGUGCUGUCCAUUAACAGGUAGAUGGAGUUCAUUCAUUUUAUAGGCCAGCACAUAUUCUGUACUAGAUUUCACGGAUGCUUGUGCCAGAAAUGAAAUCACUGCCUAAAUAAAAGCUUAAAUUAAUUAAGUUAUUUCUGACUAAUUUUAUCAACUGUCAGCACUUGGGUUCUUGGAUGGAAUCCUAUUGGCAAGAGGAUCAAUGUCCAAUUCUUUCCACAUGCGAAGAGUGGCUGAUCCCAUGUCAGAAACAAUAGCAACAACGGGAUAACCAACAGCUUCAACAUGCAUUUAUGAUUUCUAAUAGUAACUAGUUCCUCGCUGGACGAGUGGUUUUCGCGCUCGGCUGCCAAUCCGGUGAAGUUCGAAUCCCGGCUCGACCAACGCGGAACCAGAGGAAUUUAUUUCUGGUGAGAGAAAUUCAUUUCUCGAUAUAGUGUGGUUCGGAUCCCACAAUAAGCUGUAGGUCCCGUUGCUAGGUGACCAAUUGGUUCCUAGCCACGUAAAAAAAAAAUAUCUAAUCCUUCGGGCCAGCCGUAGGAGAGCUGUUAAUCAACUCAGUGGUCUGGUAAAACUAAGAUAUACUUAACUUCUAAUAGUAAAUGCUUUAGAUUUAAAAUAAAUUGGUUGUUUCUACUUUCCUACAAGACCUUGUAGCAUUGGUAGUGACGGGCGAACUGUGGCUAGCGUGAAGAGCCCAGAAGGGUGACUCAGGGAUGAUCCUCUGUCCGACUGACCUCUGUAUUGGCCUUGUAAAUUCUGAGCCAACUGAGAGUAGCUGAGCAACUAACUCACCCACUCACUGACUGUCGUCUCUCCUUGCUUUUCGCAGCUACACUGAAGCGGGAUGAAUGCAAAGAGAUGCCCGGUGUCUAUCCUCCAAAUGCUACCUCAGAGCAAGGUCUAAAGUGUCAAAGACGCAGGCUACGAGUGCGUUUGGAGAUGUAGAUGAAUGUAUCAGCAAUCCAUGUGAACGCGAGAUGCUUUUCUCCACCUGCAAAAGAGUAGAUGAACGUCAAUGCAGAACGGAGUUUGUGGUCAUUUUCGGUUGAGUUUCAUAACAAUCUGCCGGGGAUCCGAAAUUCCCUCUCAGAGACUUUUGUAAACAAUACUUUAUAUUUUAAAAAGAUAUGGUUUGGUACCAAACGGUGCCUCUAACAGACGAGUCAUGUAUUAAGCAGGGAAGCUCUCCACGCCCGAUCAAAAUCAAGACAAACUUCUUAACGCAGUUGCAGGUCUAAAAACUUCCCUUCUGGCUUCUUUUUGCUGAAUGAUUUAUAGAUGAGUGAGUUAAGUGUAAAA